RNAcentral lists this ribosomal RNA (1492 nucleotides) under uncultured bacterium. RNAcentral's name for it is "partial 16S ribosomal RNA". It matches the Rfam family "Bacterial small subunit ribosomal RNA". The record is from RNAcentral.
AGAGUUUGAUCCUGGCUCAGAUUGAACGCUGGCGGUAUGCUUUACACAUGCAAGUCGAACGGCAGCACGGGGCAACCUGGUGGCGAGUGGCGAACGGGUGAGUAACAUAUCGGAACAUAUCCGGAAGUGGGGGAUAACGUACCGAAAGGUACGCUAAUACCGCAUAUGCCCUGAGGGGGAAAGGGGGGGAUCGCAAGACCUCUCGCUUUCGGAGUGGCCGAUAUCAGAUUAGCUAGUUGGUGAGGUAAAGGCUCACCAAGGCGACGAUCUGUAGCUGGUCUGAGAGGACGACCAGCCACACUGGAACUGAGACACGGUCCAGACUCCUACGGGAGGCAGCAGUGGGGAAUUUUGGACAAUGGGCGCAAGCCUGAUCCAGCCAUACCGCGUGAGUGAAGAAGGCCUUCGGGUUGUAAAGCUCUUUCAGCCGGAAAGAAAUCGUGCAGAUUAACACCCUGUAUGGAUGACGGUACCGGAAGAAGAAGCACCGGCUAACUACGUGCCAGCAGCCGCGGUAAUACGUAGGGUGCGAGCGUUAAUCGGAAUUACUGGGCGUAAAGCGUGCGCAGGCGGCUUUAUAAGCCAGAUGUGAAAUCCCCGGGCUUAACCUGGGAACUGCAUUUGGAACUGUAAGGCUAGAGUACGGCAGAGGGAGGUGGAAUUCCGCGUGUAGCAGUGAAAUGCGUAGAUAUGCGGAGGAACACCGAUGGCGAAGGCAGCCUCCUGGGCCAGUACUGACGCUCAUGCACGAAAGCUGGGGAGCAAACAGGAUUAGAUACCCUGGUAGUCCACGCUGUAAACGAUGAGUGCUAGGUGUAGAGGGUAUCGACCCCUUCUGUGCCGCAGUUAACACAAUAAGCACUCCGCCUGGGGAGUACGGCCGCAAGGUUGAAACUCAAAGGAAUUGACGGGGGCCCGCACAAGCGGUGGAGCAUGUGGUUUAAUUCGACGCAACGCGAAGAACCUUACCAGGGCUUGACAUCUACAGAAUCCUUAGGAAACUAGGGAGUGCCCUUCGGGGAGCUGUAAGACAGGUGGUGCAUGGUUGUCGUCAGCUCGUGUCGUGAGAUGUUGGGUUAAGUCCCGCACGAGCGCAACCCCUGUGUUUAGUUGCUAACGAGUAAUGUCGAGCACUCUAGACAGACUGCCGGUGAUAAACCGGAGGAAGGUGGGGAUGACGUCAAAUCAUCAUGCCCCUUAUGUUCUGGGCUACACACGUGCUACAAUGGCCAGUACAGACGGAAGCGAAGCCGCGAGGUGGAGCAAAUCCGAGAAAGCUGGUCUCAGUUCGGAUUGCAGGCUGCAACUCGCCUGCAUGAAGUCGGAAUCGCUAGUAAUCGCAGGUCAGCAUACUGCGGUGAAUACGUUCCCGGGCCUUGUACACACCGCCCGUCACACCAUGGGAGCGGGUUUUACCAGAAGUAGGUAGCUUAACCUUCGGGGGGACGUUUACCACGGAGUGAUUCAUGACUGGGGUGAAGUCGUAACAAGG